CAAUACCCAGAGCUCGGCUCCCCUAAAGCCUCAUAAGUGCUGAGGCAAAGAGAGGAGGGGGAGAUGGAGGAUAAAGAGCGAGGGAGGGGCGAAAAACAAAUGACCACAGCCCACAGUGACACCUUCUCUACAUGUGACAUCUGCUGUCUGCUGACCUACAACCAGCGUGUCUGGGGCUCACGUGCCGGCUGCAGUCCAGCCAGCUGAAAGGCACAUAUCUCUGCUGUUUGUGGGCUUCAGGUUUUAUGGCUCUGAAGUCUGAGGUAACUUUCAGCAGCCUAAACGGAUAAAGAAACCCGUUCCCUCGUCCUAAACUGAUAAAGAGGUGGGCACGUCUCUGUUCAGCAUCAGACAUAAACCAGGAGCAUCUAUCUAAUCACUUAUCUGAUGAGCUCAUAUCCUUUCAGACACACACAGUCAUACACACACACACACAUGGUUACCUACCUAUUUAAAUGACAUACACCUACUGUUUAAUAAAAAUUAUAAAAAUGGAUACUAAAAUUAAAAUGUAAUGAUGGCAAAAUAUCAAACUGCAUGUAUUUAUGAGGUAUAAAUGUAAUUUAAGUUAAUGUAUAAAAUAAUAAUAAAAUCAAAUGUUAAAAUAUUGUAUCUGUGCUAAACAUGCAGUGUUAAAGCACCCUACUGAACUGAUACUAUGAAAUUAUAAUAAUAAUCAAAUAAACAACAAUCAAAAAUUAAUAAUCAAACAUUAAUUUUUAAACUGAUCAACCAAUCACUGUUAUGACAUUUAAUUUUAAAAUAAAAACUUUAAAAUAAAAGAGUGUGUUCAAUAGCAUGUAAGUUUUUGCUGUGGUUUGUGAAACAAGUAUUGUGAAAUUUCACUACUUAAAUUUUAUUGUGAAAACCCUUCUCCAAAUAUAAACCUCUUUUUUUUUUAUAUAAGAAACUUUUUUUUUUUUUUUUUGAAUUUUAUGGUUAAAAAUAAAACAAUUUUAUUUUUUUCACAAAUAUCUAUUUUAUUCAUUUAUUCAUUUUAUCUGUGAGGACUACAUAAAGAGGGUUUUUUUUAGAUGUAGUUAAUUUCUUCCAGUCAAUUUUGUUCCUAAAGAACAGCUUACUAAACUCAGACACACACAUGCACACACACAAGCACACACUGACCCAGUGCACUGCCCUCUGGUGGCUGGAUUAUGACCUGAUGGCCUAGAAGACAAACCUCAGAAAGACACAUGGUUUCAAGUGAGACAUAAUGAGCCUAAAUAUAAGAUAAGUUUGGGAGGAAGUAGAAUGUCUGAAGAUCAAGCGAGCUAUUAAAAGCUACAGGUUACAGGAUACCGUCUGAACGCGUGGGUCAUGGGAGAAUACAGAAUGACCUGAGAGAAUGAGAGCACAAGACUGAAAGCUCAGAGAUAUCAAACCAAACAGACCUUUUAUUCUAUACCUCUAGCUGUAGAAUAUGCUCUUUAAAACAGAGAUGUGAGACCAUAAAACCCAGCGCUGAGGAAACACAAAGAAUAAGAGAACAGAGAUUUUCUCCAGAACAAAGAGCAGUGGGCACAUGAAAGACCUACAUCAAACUGUACUGUUAUUCUUUAUAGGGCUUUAGUGGGGCCUUUUAUCCCAAGGCAUGUCCGACUACACAGGGUCUUCACUGCCAGGUUGUGACCUUGCAUUAGAGGCAGGGGGUUCAAAGAGAGUAGGCAAAAAAGGAGGUGGAAGCAACCCAGAAGAACUACACACAAAAGCUCACUGUGGCAUCGGUGACCUGCUUUAGCUUGCUUGGCCUGUAGAUGGCUGUCUAGUCAAAAAUGCAGGAUGCAUCUUCUGAAUGAAGAAGCACUAGUCAAGCUGACAUCCUUCAAGCUUUGGGCGCUAGUCUCGUGUCCUUGUCGCCACAGUGGAUCAUAACCUUCUUCUCACUUCUCUCCUGGUGCUCGUUUCCUCGCUAAGUGCAACUUCUGCCCGAGCGAGGGUGCCUGAGCUAUCUGUCAAGAGCAAAUGACAAUCUUUUUUGUCAUUCACAGCCAGCGUUCUCGCAUGCAAAAGGCCCCGAAGGAAAGCAAACACUCCCUGCUGCUUUCUCUCCUUGCCUCUUUUCCUUUCCCUCUCUCUCCUCCGAUCAUCUCUUCUGGGCUGAACAUCGGCGCCCCAGUGCAGGCAUUGUCACAUCAAACAGUCGUGCCCGUGACAAGGGUGUUUAAAAAAAGCCUGGCUAUUUACACACAUAGGCUGCAGCUCCAGGCUCUCAGCCAAGUAUAAAUCUCCCACAAGAUGUAGUUACUCGCCCAAAGUCAUGGGGCCGUCCAUCAGCCUCUGACUCUUUUUCUCCCUCAGUACAAGAACGGCUGUCAGGAGGGCUGGGGUCCUUCAGCACAGGUGCCCACACAGCUGCCUGAAAGCAUAGCUGCUGCUGCUGCUGCGCCAGACGCACAUGCAAACUGCAGAACACGCGUCUGCCACGCUCUGAACGGCGAGCCGAGCACUCCACCUUCAUCUGCUUGUAGAGAUUCCUAAAAACACUAGCAGCCAAUAAAACAACUAUUUAGCCAGGCAUCAUGUGGCAAAACUGGUAAGAAUCGCACUCACACAAUGUCUAUGGGUUGAACGAUUAAUAGAAAUAAAACCGAAAUCCUGAUAUGAAUUAGUGUGAUUUAAUUAAAGACCCCCUGUGGUGAAAAUCAAGUUUUUAAUGUUGUUUAUAUGUCUAUCUGGUGUUUUUAACAUGCUUUAAGACAAACCAUGUGCAAAUUCAUAAGUCAACACCAUUGCUGAGUAUUUUCUCUUUAAAACUGCAGUAAAAUAAAGACAGUCUCAAACCUAAUCACUGGUGUUUCUGACAUCACAAACUACCUUGUAACCAAUCACGUCAACAUGCCGGCAGGCUUUAGCAUAUCAUUAACUGACCGUGCAAGGGAGUCUCAAAAGAAGGUUAUCACGGUAUAUUUUUCUGUUGAUAUGGAAAAUUGUGUACAUUUAGCAAUAUGGCGGGUGUAUGAUGCAUAUUACGAUGUUAUGAUGAACUAUAUGCUUUUCUCCACUGACAUUAAGGUGCUCAAAGCGUUUGUAAGGAUACUGAUUGUUAGAAGACAGCUGUCUGACUCGUGAAUGUGAACAUGGUUUGUGUAACAUUAGCAACACAUAAUUAGCUGUUUGAUAACGUAGUCAAGCAAAACGCUAAUUAUAUUAAUUACCGUUAUGUGUCCGAAGCGAUAAUUGUGUAGCGUUUACCUCAUUAAGUUGACCAAGUGGAUCUGGUCUGAGCUGGUGUGAGCGAGUGGAGGCGGGGCUAAUUAUCAUAUUCAUAGAUCCGUGUAUAUUACAUGAGGCAAGGGUGUAGAGAUACAUUCAAGCUAUUUUAAGGCAUUAAGAAUUUUUUUUUUCCACAGGAAAAAAACGUUUAAAUAUGUAAUUUUGAUGAUCAAAGAUGAAUUUUAAGGGAUACGAUUAUUGACUACAGGGGGACUUUAAAUAAAUAUAUACACCAGGGUUAUUAUUUUUAACAAAACCGUAAAAAAUGUUCAUUACUUAAAAUAAAAUAAACAUUAACUGAAACUUAAACUUAUUUUAUUUCAGCUAUUUGCAAAGACACAAUGUACAAGUUGAUGUAUUAAAAUAACUAAAACUAAAAACUAUGUAGACAUUUAAAAAUGACAAAAAAAUGACAGACAACAAUUAUCUAAAAUUAAAACUGAAUACAUAAAAUUAAAUCUAAUUUGAAAUAUUAAUAAAUAGUAUAAUAGUAUUUCAAUGAUACUUAAAUAACACUGAUGUACACUGCACAUUUUACAGUGAAACGUGGCAAUUUGUUCAUUUAUACGCAAAAAGCCCAUGAUAAGUGUUUUUCAGCCAAAAAAAAGUUUCAUAGUUUAACAUUUGAAAAUAAAUGAAUCAAGACGAAAAUUUUAGUAUUGUAAUUUUUACUUGUUGUACAGUAAAAUAGCAUUAUUAUUCAUUUUAUUGUAUGCUUGAUUUUUUUAUUUUACAGUGAAAUAUUAUUAUUACAAUAGUAGUGUAUAUAUGUAUAUGUAAUAAAAAUCAUAACAAUUAUAAUUAUUAUUAUUAUAUAAAUCACAAUAUGACUUUUUUGGCCAAAUCUCAUUUUAAACUGCAAUCGCUAUUUAAAAAAAAAAAAAAAAAAAAAAAAAAUUAAACAGACUUUUUUCUUAGUUCACAAAACGUUCAGACCUACUUAUGUCUAAUCUUCAAGUGUUUAAAGACUGAAUAAUAAACAUCCGCUAUCUUUCUUUAAACCAUUUCCCGCAGUUCAAGGGUUAACAAGGUUCCCUCGGCUUCAAGCAAGUACACAAAUCAAACACGGUUAUAAAUAUUUGUACGUUCUCAAUCUGCUGCCAUGUCUUAUUUGGGGCUUUCUGUCGUAAAGCAUGCCCUCGGUGCUCUAAAAUGGAGCGGAUGUUAUUCCAUAAAUAUUUACAAUCCAUACGUAAACUAUGCCGAUCCAUCAGUCGUGUUGCGUUUAAAAAAAAGUGAUGAGCUGGUAAGAGGUAAAUAGUUAAAGUAUUUUUAGGUGAGUUGGGGGUUGUAUUCCCCACAGAGGAUCUGAUGAUGGGAAGCAUUGUGUUCAUUUUGUUUAUCAAGCAGCUCUACGGGCCUCUAGUGGGGCUCGUCUGCUUACACAAGCAAAAGCUUUCAGAGGCAUCUGCAGCUGCAAGCCCACUGUACAGGUACCCUGCAGACUGCAUGUGCGCACACACACACAGCUGCCCCAGCAACCCUACGUAGCUCUGCAGGUGCACCUGUGCCGCCGUGGCUACCAGCACCCAGAUUUACGUCUUUGGUUUUACGUCUAGCCCUUCAAAAUCUCUCGACCAAUUGUGACGAUUGUCACCAAAUGCCGGUCCACACUAAACGGGUUUCCAUCCAUCCAUUUUUUUACACAAAUUUUGGGAUAUUGCAUGGAUGGAAACAUGAGAAUACAAUUUCCACAGUGCACCAAAAAACUACAACAAUAAUACAUUAACAAUAAUAAAUGCCUUAUUUACAUAAAAAAGUCAAGUGACUGUGUUAUGUGUACAGUAACUGGGUUUAUAUUAAAUUUAGUGGGAUAUUGCAUAAAAGCACAUAAAAAUCACAUUAACUUCCUUCAUGCGCAUCAAAACAUUCACAUGAUUUUGCCUCAAGUCAUAUUACUGAAGAAUUCACUCAGAUUACUACUACUACUACUACUACUACUACUACUAUUUUUCUAACCAUGCAUAAAGUGCUUGUGUGAGGGUUUUUAUCAUUUAUAACUUCUGGAGAGAAAUAGUAAAGACACUAGAGAAGUAUGAAAAGUGUUGACCGUUUUUUUUUUUUUGUGAAUGCUAUCAAAUAGAAUAUUGAAAGGUUUUGCGUUUGGCCGUACUCAUGCUAAGCGCUCGGGUCAAAACUGAAGGAUACUUUGGGCUUUGGUAAUAAGGCGUCUGCCACCAAUCGCUAAUAAAGUUUUUUUUUUUAGUUUAUAUAACUCCUGACCAAAUUAUAUAAAUAAAGUCUAAUGAAUAAAAGAGUUUUUUUCUAUGUACUCUAAAUCUGUUACUUUUAAUUAAAGGCACACUAUGUAAAUUUUCGCCGCUAGAGGUUGCUUAUUCAAAACAAAGGCGUAGCUUUGAUGAUGCCUUGAUUUCGCGGAAUCACGGGAGGUGUUGUCUUCACGUCUACAGCCGGUGGAAAAAAAUCGGGCCGGGACUCGGGCAGAAAUCAUGUUCAUGGAUGAGAUUAUUAACGUUACUGUAGUAUGAAGCAGAGCAGGGCUGAGUGAUGUGGGAGCUGAACGAGGCCGCUGGAGCGAUUGAUAAUGAGAGACGAGCAUGACACACGUCUCAAGAGUAGCAGACCUUUUAUUAUGCCGCAGUCGCCGCUUCUUCAAGCGAAUGUGGGGUAAAGCAGCGCUGUUUUUCAUAUUAGAUACAUUUGUGUUUUGAAAGUUGUUACUUUGCGUUCGCUCUGCAGCUACUAUGAGACACUAAAUGCACAUUGCAGUAAGCUAGAUCGAUAUUGGACAUGGUAAAACAUGGUACUCGCUGUAAAUCAAGAAAACAAGAUUUAAACAAUAAGACUUAGUGUGUUGAGCUAUAUAACACGAUUAGUUUUCUGUUGAUAAAUGUAUCCAUCCAAACAGUUGCUCACCUGUCUAAUAAAACAUGUAAUAUAUUAAAGCGUCUUUGGUGUUUCCAUGGUUUGUACAAAAUAAAACCGGAAACCGACGCACGGACACGGUCCGUGUCCUGGUUAAAAUAGCUUAUUUCUCCGGAUUUAAACGUUCUUGGAAACAUUUGGGAUAAUGUAAGUACACAAGUCAACAAAAUAUAUGAAAUUGUUCUAGUGUUUUUUGCAUAUUUGAAUCCAACAAUCUUACAUAUUGUGCCUUUAAACUGCCAUAGUGAUCACAAAUUCAAUUUGCAAUUUCAUUACAUAGGUACUGACACACAAGUUCAUCUGUUGCGAGAGUGAUUUUGAAGAGAAUUCAGCCUUUCUUACAAGAGCAGAGUUCUAUAUUCCCGGCGUGCACAGUCACUGCUCUACCCUGCGCUGAAUUGAGCUGCUUUGAGUUAUGAGUCACACAAGUGCACCUGCGGCCAUGUGUUAAGUACUGACAAAUAAAAGCUCUAUGUCCAUUUACACAACAAAGAGAUGUACCCCACGAGGCCACCAAUCUUUCCUCAACCCCCUUACCACCCCACCUCUCUGUCUUUUUCGGUCUUCCCUUGUUUUUUCCUUUGGCAUUAGUAGUGAAAAGUAUCUCGCUCCCCGUUUCCCCCGAGUCCCAUAUCAACUGGAGCAACUCUGUUCCAGACAAGCUACGAUUCAAACACAAAUUUAAAGACAAAAGUGCGUUGCGCAACUUUUUAUUCAUGUCUCGUAGAAGAGUCGCGCUUGAUUUCUCGCCUGCGUUGCGUGCGAUUAUUGAGAGCUCACGAAGACUAAUCCUGCUGCCACGCGGCCCUCAAUGGCCUUGUUUUGUUCUACAGGAGGAAUCCGAAUCCUGCUGUAUUAACGUGAGGGGAUCUCUGUGCUAAAGCCAUGGCACCCAUUCACUGCAGCCAGCACUGUGGUUUGAGGGCAAAUCUAAAAGGAGGCUUUCACUAUCUGCCCUCCGUUUUCUUACAAUUUAUGCAUAUAGAAAGGGUGGGAGGGAGUUGGGCGAAUGGGGGUCACAGGCGGAGUCAAGCUGUGCUCCACACUUCCUCUGAAUCCUAAUGUCUGGUGCUCCACCGGGAUUAUCGCCCAUGGAAAUUUUCCCCCAAUUCCACAUUAUUAAUCUCUGUCUGUCCUCCUGUUCUGGCUACAUAAUGACUAAUUAAACAUCAAAAGAGCUGUGGCGGGGAUGCGGCAUGACAGCUCGUGUCCCUGAGCCCUUGUUCCCGCGGGAGAGGGGAGGAGAGGGAGGUGAGCGCUGAUGGGGCGGCCUCACAAAUCAAUCAACCAUCGUUACCGCGCACCUACACCCGCCGUGCUCCAAACGGUGGAUUCGCAAACACAACAGAGCUGAUUUGUGAGGCAGGUUUGGCCUCCCGUGUACAUGCGCUCGACAUACGCACAGGUACGUGCUGCCACCAUGUCAGAGGACGACUUUGAUAAGACGAAAUUCAAAAAUGUGUGUGCCGCUGUACCAACGGUUUUCAUUAAACUCUUCUGUUGUGUC
Long non-coding RNA from Ctenopharyngodon idella (grass carp), 7606 nucleotides. RefSeq lists it as uncharacterized. The transcript has 3 exons. The record is from RefSeq and is a predicted model, not a curated record. NCBI's taxonomy places the organism in Eukaryota, Metazoa, Chordata, Actinopteri, Cypriniformes, Xenocyprididae.